This 660-nucleotide ribosomal RNA is filed under the name uncultured bacterium. RNAcentral's name for it is "bacterial SSU rRNA". It matches the Rfam family "Bacterial small subunit ribosomal RNA", at positions 202 to 849 of the family's 1533-position model. The record is from RNAcentral.
AAAAGAUGGUUCUGCUAUCACUCUUGGAUGGACCUGCGGUGCAUUAGCUAGUUGGUAAGGUAACGGCUUACCAAGGCAAUGAUGCAUAGCCGAGUUGAGAGACUGAUCGGCCACAUUGGGACUGAGACACGGCCCAAACUCCUACGGGAGGCAGCAGUAGGGAAUCUUCCACAAUGGACGCAAGUCUGAUGGAGCAACGCCGCGUGAGUGAAGAAGGGUUUCGGCUCGUAAAGCUCUGUUGGUAGUGAAGAAAGAUAGAGGUAGUAACUGGCCUUUAUUUGACGGUAAUUACCUAGAAAGUCACGGCUAACUACGUGCCAGCAGCCGCGGUAAUACGUAGGUGGCAAGCGUUGUCCGGAUUUAUUGGGCGUAAAGCGAGUGCAGGCGGUUCAAUAAGUCUGAUGUGAAAGCCUUCGGCUCAACCGGAGAAUUGCAUCAGAAACUGUUGAACUUGAGUGCAGAAGAGGAGAGUGGAACUCCAUGUGUAGCGGUGGAAUGCGUAGAUAUAUGGAAGAACACCAGUGGCGAAGGCGGCUCUCUGGUCUGCAACUGACGCUGAGGCUCGAAAGCAUGGGUAGCGAACAGGAUUAGAUACCCUGGUAGUCCAUGCCGUAAACGAUGAGUGCUAAGUGUUGGGAGGUUUCCGCCUCUCAGUGCUGC